Molecule: long non-coding RNA, 320 nt
Filed under: Amborella trichopoda
Lineage: Eukaryota; Viridiplantae; Streptophyta; Magnoliopsida; Amborellales; Amborellaceae
Description: long non-coding RNA (ATRI_LNC000500)
Source: RNAcentral
UGGAAAUAGGGCUUGUAAUGUAUUUUUGGACCGUUAAUUUCAAGAUUUUAAAGUUUCCAUAGAUCUUCUCGAUCUGUGCCAUUUCUUAAGCUUCGAAUUUUAUAAUUAGAGAUAAAAAAUAUAUUAUAAAGCUAUAAAAAAGAUUGCAGUAUUGAAACCACUUUCUCAACAUUACACUAUUUGAAGGUGCACUUUAGUUUGAUUGAUUAUGAUUGAUUAAAGCCUCCGCUCCACACAAACGCAUCCUUUAGAAAAUAAAAAUAAAAAAGGUUUUCUCAUCUCUCUCUCCCUUUUUUUUUUUUGUUCUGUAUUUUUUUUUU